AGUAAAAACUGUAAGAGUAAACACGCGGUCAAAACCGCAUGUAGGAGUCCAGCCUUGGUAGGGGGUGUAGGAGAGACUCCAAGGCGAUACCCGCUCCCCGUCACCCCCCCCGUCACCCCCCUGCUACUUGUGCCACUUUCCGCUCCGCCCGGUGCCUGGACAACCGACACCCCUCGGCGCAGAGGGCAGGACCCCGGGUUUGGCGUCUGGAUCGCGGCCGCGAGGUGCAGCGGGGACGCGAAGCAGUGGCGCCGGGGGCACCCAGAGCAGGUCCAGGCGGCGCCGGGUCCGUCCCCCCGCCCCGGCUCCCAGCUGCCCAAUCAGGGCGCGGCUCGGGCGCGCGCCGCGGCCAAUCAGGAGCUGCGGGAGAGGAGCCAGGAGCCGGCGGGCGCGGAGCAAGCCUAGAGAGUCGGGAGCCGGCGGCGGCGCUGCGGCCGCGAGGGAGGGCAGCGGGAGCAGUGGGGCCGGGCGAGGAUCCCCGGGCCAGCCCAGCGGGCUCUGCCGUGGCGACAUUCCGGCCGACACUUGGGACCCUGCGGGCGGCGUCGCAGGUUGAGGAAGUGAAGAGAAUAGGCAUAAAUGGUGGGAAAUUUCCAUCAACUUGGAAAACACAAUAGAAUAAAUAAUUCUUGGCCACGAGGUGAGAGCCCAGAGAGUCACAAGGUCAAAGGAUCCUGUCCCAUUUGUCUGUGGUGACAGCCCCCCUCCCCCCAAAAAGGAACGCCUCACCCUUGAACAAUGCAAGUGUCCCUGGGAAGCUGAAAAGGUACAUGCAAAUGAUGAAAUAAAUCACAUCAUUUUAGAAGUAAGUGGUGGUUAUACUUUUCUAUAUUUCCCAAAUUUUCUUUAGUGAGAGUGUGUUCCUUUUAUAAUAAAAUAUAUAUAAAUAAUGCAAAAAAUAGAUGCAAAAGAGGGAAAUUUACUGGGAGUGUGGAGAUGGGUUUAAAGGUGCCAUUUAAAGGUGCUGAGUUCCUUGCAUUUUAUAACAGGAUUAUUUUGCCCUAUAAGUCGUAACACUUCCUAACUUACCUGCUGUCUAAAUUUACAAUCUUCAAGAAUGUACUGGGUGUCAGCCAUACCUGUCACCCAUCAAAACCCAAGACCCUGCUCUAGGAGAGCAGAGCCAGCACUCAGGCAACAGAUAUUUAUUUGACUCUCACACUGUGCCAAGCCCACCCAGUGUGGCUAUAUUCCUGGCCACUAUCCCCAGCGGUUGGAGACCCCCUCUUGCCCCUGUCUCAGCAGACAUGAACUAGGGAUGUUUCUUGUUUACAGGGGGAUGGCUGCAUGAGGAUAAUGUCACAGUCAGCCUGGGGCCCUUGGAGCUGCUCCUCACGAGGCCCACUGCGGAGGCCUGAGUUUUUGCGUUCAGCUGCGUUGUUUUGGUUUCUGUGCCUGAGGUCUAUUUUGUUGGGGCAAGGACAGGGAUUCUUAGAAAAGGGAAGGAGAUAUCCUCUGCCUUACUGAAAACGGAAGUAAGGAAUUAUCAGUUCAGGGUCAGUGGAAGCCACAGUGCCUGGCUUCCUUUUGCUGUGCUCUUCUGGAAUGAGUUGGUUUUGUUUUGAACAUUCUGAAAGUGACAUGAGCUAGAUAAAUUGUUCUAGGGUGGAGCUUUCAACAGGGAGUCCAGAGAGCCCUAGGGGAUUCAUGGAGGGACUUUGGCAAAGGUGUCUGUGAAGCACCUGAAAUUUUAAAUAUGUUGCAUGUAUGUGUGUUUACUCGGAGAUGAGGGUCUCUGGCUUAAAUUGUACCUCAGAUCCAGAGAGCCAUGCUUAAAAAAAAGAAAAAAAAGGCUAAGACCCAGUUCUAGGGGGAGAUGUUCAAGUUUGAGUUACACAUCUUGGCCUUGACUCUAACUAGAGAACUCUUCCUAAUGGAUGAUGUGUUUGUAGUUGAAGUAUUAGUGUAAAUAGGCACAUCUCAGGUGCACCCACAGAAGCCUGUGCUGCAAGAAAGGUGAGGAAGGUUUCACUUCUUCAAGUGCUGGAAAGCUGGAAAUCCAGAAGUGCACAAUCCCUGCAGUUCUAAUGCUUCCUAUUCUCCUCUUUCUGUUGUCCUUGAGCCCACACAGAGUUCCCUUAACUCUGUAUUACCUGAAGAGUUAGCUUGUUGAAAUGAACACUAAUACCUCUUUUACCUGGUUUUUCUCUGGGCUCUAAGCAAAUCAGGUUGAUUUUUCCUGCAAUGGAAGGCUGGAUUCGGUGCAGGCCUUCAUGAUGAUGAUGAGAGCAGACAUGUACAGUGAGUGAACUGCCACGUGGCCGUUUAUCCAGUGCCCCACACAUGAGUGUUGACCUUCCCACCCUUGCUUCUUGUUUCUCCUCACAUUGCACAUUUUCUCUAGGUGACCUCCAAACCCUUGGCUGCCAAUACCUUUUAAUCUGUAUAAUCAAUACCUCUCUUCUUCUGACUUCUUGACCUGUUUAAUAGGCCCUAAGACGUCUCUGUGGUUGUCUGACAGGUGCAUCAAACUCACUGGGUUUAAAACUGAACUCAUCAUAUCCCUACCACCCCUCAAUCAUUCUUCCCUAUGAAGUCCUUCUGAAGGCCGGUGAAUGGCCAGAAACCUAUCCAGUCUUCCAGAGAUCUUUUUCAUCUGCCAACCACAUCACUGCCUCCCUCAAUCUAAAUGAGCUUCAAAUAGACUUUAUCCCCAUGUCUUGAUGAUCUUUCAUUUUAAAUGGCUCAUAAAAAAACAUCCCUCCUGUUUAUCCCUCAUCUUGCAAUGCCUGAUCACUAUAAUUACUAGGUGAUCUUCCCACCCUCCAGUCCAUCUUCCUCAUUGCUUCCAGAAUGAUUUUCCUAAAAUAUGAUUGAAUCGUAUCAUUUCUUCAUUUAAAAUUGUUUAAUUAAUCUCCAUUGCCCUCCAAAACCCAACCUUGGCAUGGCUUACAAGACCCUUCUGACUCCUCAUCUUUCCAGCCUCUCCUCUUCUCUCUUCUCUCUUCUCUCUUCUCUCUUCUCUCUUCUCUCUUCUCUCUUCUCUUCUUCUGAGCUGCUUGUAGUUCAGAAAGCACAACAUGCUUUCAUUCAUCUCCUACACUUUGUAUGAAUGUAUCACAUUUUAUUAUAGCUGUUUUUAAGUGGGGGAACUUAUAAAAAAAACUGUCACACUUCAAGGUUCUAAGUCAUGUACAAAACAGUCUAGCUCUGCAUCAUCCCCAUCCUUGCCUCCUGCCCAUUCCUAAUACCACCCCUAAAUCUCAGGUCGUCCUUGAACUUGAACCUCUUUUCUUAGCCUCAUCUUCACCUCACGCCAUGCCUUACUUGUAUCUCCAGAUCCUACCCCAUCACUGAUUCAUAUGUACUCCAGGGGUUGAGGUCAGUGAUGAGUGAUGUUCAAGAAUGGGUUAGGUAGGCAGGAGGUCUGGGGAUGAUGUGAGAGACAGGGAUGUCUAUUGCACAUACUUUUUGGUACCAAACUGGUUUUGCGUGUUAACACAACUGUUUAAACAUGGCUAAGUAAAAUGGCACCCUCUAAUUAAGUUGCAUUGUCCUGUUUUAUUCUUAUAGAUGCUAUGCUGCCAGCUUGGAAUCUCCCUUUUCCCUGCCCCCAACUAAUUUCUGUUCGUCUUUCAAGCCCCUUCCCAGGUAUCACCUUCCCUCAGUUAUUCUUUACUGACCCCAAGAUUGGACUGGGUGCCACUCCUCUGUGUGCUAAUGGCACUGUUGGGUUUACUGUAUUGUGAUUGUCUGUUUAUUUGCCUGUCUCCUUCUCUCUCUCUUAGUCUUCUCUCUAUCUCUAGAAUUUCACUAGGACAUGCCUAGCAAUAGGAGAUGCUGAAGAAAUG
Molecule: long non-coding RNA, 3791 nt
Organism: Panthera leo (lion)
Lineage: Eukaryota; Metazoa; Chordata; Mammalia; Carnivora; Felidae
Source: Ensembl